CAGUCGCCGCGGGAAUACGAAGGGUGUAAGCGUUAAUCGGAAUUACUGGGCGUAAAGCGUGCGUAGGCGGUGAGUUAAGUCUGCUGUGAAAUCCCCGGGCUCAACCCGGGAAUGGCAGUGGAUACUGGCUCGCUAGAGUGUGUCAGAGGAUGGUGGAAUUCCCGGUGUAGCGGUGAAAUGCGUAGAGAUCGGGAGGAACAUCAGUGGCGAAGGCGGCCAUCUGGGACAACACUGACGCUGAGGCACGAAAGCGUGGGGAGCAAACAGGAUUAGAUACCCCAGUAGUCCCUGUCUCUUAUAC
This 301-nucleotide ribosomal RNA is filed under the name uncultured bacterium. RNAcentral describes it as "partial 16S ribosomal RNA". It matches the Rfam family "Bacterial small subunit ribosomal RNA", at positions 509 to 807 of the family's 1533-position model. The record is from RNAcentral.